GACGAACGCUGGCGGCGUGCUUAACACAUGCGAGUCGAACGCUGAAGCUUGGUGCUUGCACUGGGUGGAUGAGUGGCGAACGGGUGAGUAAUACGUGAGUAACCUGCCCUUGACUCUGGGAUAAGCCUGGGAAACUGGGUCUAAUACUGGAUACGACAUGCCACUGCAUGGUGGUGUGUGGAAAGGGUUUUACUGGUUUUGGAUGGGCUCACGGCCUAUCGGCUUGUUGGUGGGGUAAUGGCCUACCAAGGCGACGACGGGUAGCCGGCCUGAGAGGGUGACCGGCCACACUGGGACUGAGAGACGGCCCAGACUCCUACGGGAGGCAGCAGUGGGGAAUAUUGCACAAUGGGCGGAAGCCUGAUGCAGCGACGCCGCGUGAGGGAUGACGGCCUUCGGGGUGUAAACCUCUUUCAGCACGGAAGAAGCGAGAGUGACGGUACGUGCAGAAGAAGCGCCGGCUAACUACGUG
This 472-nucleotide ribosomal RNA is filed under the name uncultured bacterium. Its description in RNAcentral is "partial 16S ribosomal RNA". It matches the Rfam family "Bacterial small subunit ribosomal RNA", at positions 28 to 507 of the family's 1533-position model. The record is from RNAcentral.